UCUUCUAGCUUGCUAGAAGUGGAUUAGUGGCGCACGGGUGAGUAAUGCAUAGGUUAUGUGCCCUUUAGUCUGGGAUAGCCACUGGAAACGGUGAUUAAUACUGGAUACUCCCUACGGGGGAAAGUUUUUCGCUAAAGGAUCAGCCUAUGUCCUAUCAGCUUGUUGGUGAGGUAAUGGCUCACCAAGGCUAUGACGGGUAUCCGGCCUGAGAGGGUGAUCGGACACACUGGAACUGAGACACGGUCCAGACUCCUACGGGAGGCAGCAGUAGGGAAUAUUGCUCAAUGGGGGAAACCCUGAAGCAGCAACGCCGCGUGGAGGAUGAAGGUUUUAGGAUUGUAAACUCCUUUUGUUAGAGAAGAUUAUGACGGUAUCUAACGAAUAAGCACCGGCUAACUCCGUGCCAGCAGCCGCGGUAAUACGGAGGGUGCAAGCGUUACUCGGAAUCACUGGGCGUAAAGAGUGCGUAGGCGGGGUAAUAAGUCAGAUGUGAAAUCCUGUAGCUUAACUACAGAACUGCAUUUGAAACUGUUACUCUGGAGUGUGGGAGAGGUAGGUGGAAUUCUUGGUGUAGGGGUAAAAUCCGUAGAGAUCAAGAGGAAUACUCAUUGCGAAGGCGACCUGCUGGAACAUUACUGACGCUGAUGCACGAAAGCGUGGGGAGCAAACAGGAUUAGAUACCCUGGUAGUCCACGCCCUAAACGAUGGAUGCUAGUUGUUGCCUUGCUUGUCAGGGCAGUAAUGCAGCUAACGCAUUAAGCAUCCCGCCUGGGGAGUACGGUCGCAAGAUUAAAACUCAAAGGAAUAGACGGGGACCCGCACAAGCGGUGGAGCAUGUGGUUUAAUUCGAAGAUACGCGAAGAACCUUACCUAGGCUUGACAUUGAU
RNAcentral lists this ribosomal RNA (887 nucleotides) under uncultured bacterium. RNAcentral describes it as "bacterial SSU rRNA". It matches the Rfam family "Bacterial small subunit ribosomal RNA", at positions 71 to 991 of the family's 1533-position model. The record is from RNAcentral.